AUGGCUCAGAUUGAACGCUGGCGGCAUGCCUUACACAUGCAAGUCGAACGGCAGCAUGAUCUAGCUUGCUAGAUUGAUGGCGAGUGGCGAACGGGUGAGUAAUACAUCGGAACGUGCCCUGUAGUGGGGGAUAACUAGUCGAAAGAUUAGCUAAUACCGCAUACGACCUGAGGGUGAAAGUGGGGGACCGCAAGGCCUCAUGCUAUAGGAGCGGCCGAUGUCUGAUUAGCUAGUUGGUGAGGUAAAGGCUCACCAAGGCGACGAUCAGUAGCUGGUCUGAGAGGACGAUCAGCCACACUGGGACUGAGACACGGCCCAGACUCCUACGGGAGGCAGCAGUGGGGAAUUUUGGACAAUGGGGGCAACCCUGAUCCAGCAAUGCCGCGUGUGUGAAGAAGGCCUUCGGGUUGUAAAGCACUUUUGUCCGGAAAGAAAUCGCACUUACUAAUAUUAGGUGUGGAUGACGGUACCGGAAGAAUAAGGACCGGCUAACUACGUGCCAGCAGCCGCGGUAAUACGUAGGGUCCAAGCGUUAAUCGGAAUUACUGGGCGUAAAGCGUGCGCAGGCGGUUGUGCAAGACCGAUGUGAAAUCCCCGGGCUUAACCUGGGAAUUGCAUUGGUGACUGCACGGCUAGAGUGUGUCAGAGGGGGGUAGAAUUCCACGUGUAGCAGUGAAAUGCGUAGAGAUGUGGAGGAAUANCGAUGGCGAAGNCAGCCCCCUGNGAUNACACUGACGCUCAUGCACGAAAGCGUUGGGAGCAAACAGGAUUAGAUACCCUGGUAGUCCACGCCCUAAACGAUGUCAACUAGUUGUUGGGGAUUCAUUUCCUUAGUAACGUAGCUAACGCGUGAAGUUGACCGCCUGGGGAGUACGGUCGCAAGAUUAAAACUCAAAGGAAUUGCCGGGGACCCGCACAAGCGGUGGAUGAUGUGGAUUAAUUCGAUGCAACGCGAAAAACCUUACCUACCCUUGACAUGCCACUAACGAAGCAGAGAUGCAUUAGGUGCUCGAAAGAGAAAGUGGACACAGGUGCUGCAUGGCUGUCGUCAGCUCGUGUCGUGAGAUGUUGGGUUAAGUCCCGCAACGAGCGCAACCCUUGUCUCUAGUUGCUACGAAAGGGCACUCUAGAGAGACUGCCGGUGACAAACCGGAGGAAGGUGGGGAUGACGUCAAGUCCUCAUGGCCCUUAUGGGUAGGGCUUCACACGUCAUACAAUGGUGCAUACAGAGGGUUGCCAAGCCGCGAGGUGGAGCUAAUCCCAGAAAAUGCAUCGUAGUCCGGAUCGUAGUCUGCAACUCGACUACGUGAAGCUGGAAUCGCUAGUAAUCGCGGAUCAGCAUGCCGCGGUGAAUACGUUCCCGGGUCUUGUACACACCGCCCGUCACACCAUGGGAGUGGGUUUUGCCAGAAGUAGUUAGCCUAACCGCAAGGGGGGCGAUU
Molecule: ribosomal RNA, 1442 nt
Filed under: uncultured Ralstonia sp.
Lineage: Bacteria; Pseudomonadati; Pseudomonadota; Betaproteobacteria; Burkholderiales; Burkholderiaceae
Description: bacterial SSU rRNA
Rfam family: Bacterial small subunit ribosomal RNA
Source: RNAcentral